UACGGAGGGUGCAAGCGUUAUCCGGAUUCACUGGGUUUAAAGGGUGCGUAGGUGGGUUGGUAAGUCAGUGGUGAAAUCUCCAGGCUCAACUUGGAAACUGCCAUUGAUACUAUCAGUCUUGAAUAUUGUGGAGGUCAGCGGAAUAUGUCAUGUAGCGGUGAAAUGCUUAGAUAUGACAUAGAACACCAAUUGCGAAGGCAGCUGGCUACUCAUAUAUUGACACUGAGGCACGAAAGCGUGGGGAUCAAACAGG
Molecule: ribosomal RNA, 253 nt
Filed under: uncultured bacterium
Lineage: Bacteria
Description: partial 16S ribosomal RNA
Rfam family: Bacterial small subunit ribosomal RNA
Source: RNAcentral